RNAcentral lists this ribosomal RNA (939 nucleotides) under uncultured bacterium. Its description in RNAcentral is "bacterial SSU rRNA". It matches the Rfam family "Bacterial small subunit ribosomal RNA", at positions 432 to 1379 of the family's 1533-position model. The record is from RNAcentral.
CCUGUCUAGAGGGACGAAGCAAGUGACGGUACCUCUGGAGGAAGCCCCGGCUAACUCCGUGCCAGCAGCCGCGGUAAUACGGGGGGGGCGAGCGUUGUUCGGAAUUACUGGGCGUAAAGGGCGCGUAGGCGGUAUGGGAAGUCAUGGGUGAAGGUCCUGGGCUCAACCGAGGGAUUGCCUGUGAAACCACCAUACUGGAGUGCUGGAGAGGGAAGUGGAAUUCCCAGUGUAGCGGUGAAAUGCGUAGAUAUUGGGAGGAACACCUGUGGCGAAGGCGGCUUCCUGGACAGACACUGACGCUGAGGCGCGAAAGCCAGGGGAGCGAACGGGAUUAGAUACCCCGGUAGUCCUGGCUGUAAACGAUGAACACUUGGUGUGGGGGGUGAUGAAAGUCCCUCUGUGCCGGAGAGAACUCAUUAAGUGUUCCGCCUGGGGAGUACGGCCGCAAGGCUGAAACUCAAAGGAAUUGACGGGGGCCCGCACAAGCGGUGGAGCAUGUGGUUUAAUUCGACGCAACGCGAAGAACCUUACCGGGGUUUGAACUGCACCUGAACGACCUAGAGAUGGGGAGGUUCCUUUCGAGGACAGGUGCAGAGGUGCUGCAUGGCUGUCGUCAGCUCGUGUCGUGAGAUGUUGGGUUAAGUCCCGCAACGAGCGCAACCCUUGUCUGUAGUUGCCAUCAGGUCAAGCUGGGCACUCUACGGAGACUGUCGGCGAGAAGCCGGAGGAAGGUGGGGAUGACGUCAAGUCCUCAUGGCCUUUAUGUCCCGGGCUACACACGUGCUACAAUGGGCGGUACAGAGGGCAGCGACCCUGUGAAGGCAAGCGAAUCCCAGAAAACCGCUCUCAGUUCGGAUUGCAGUCUGCAACUCGACUGCAUGAAGUUGGAAUCGCUAGUAAUCGCGGAUCAGAANCGCCGCGGUGAAUACGUUCCCGGGC